CCCGCCACUGUGCUAGUCUGUAAAUUGACUGUGUACUGUCCAGAGGAGGCUAAUAAUAACCCAGCUCUAGGAAGCAGGACUAAUCAACUUAGUGGUUAACCCUGUGCCAAAAAGACUGGAACAUGC
Molecule: small nucleolar RNA, 126 nt
Organism: Cyprinus carpio carpio
Lineage: Eukaryota; Metazoa; Chordata; Actinopteri; Cypriniformes; Cyprinidae
Source: Ensembl